RNAcentral lists this ribosomal RNA (633 nucleotides) under Triticum aestivum (bread wheat). Its description in RNAcentral is "partial small subunit ribosomal RNA". The record is from RNAcentral. Lineage: Eukaryota; Viridiplantae; Streptophyta; Magnoliopsida; Poales; Poaceae.
AUGCGGCUGGACAGGGCCACGGGCGCCAAGUGCUUCCUGAUUUCGGCGAGGGCGCUGCAUAUUUCGCGGGGCGAGACGCCCGCCUCCUGGCAAUGGAUCCACCUCCGCAGCGACGAGAUGCAAGGAAACGAGAGGUUCUCGGAAGCAGUCAGGCUCCGCAAGGUUUCGUGGUUGGAAAUCUGUGCCAAGAUGCAAUGUAGGAUGCUCUCGCAGAACUCGGCAUACGCCACUUACAUGGUGUUCAAGCUGGCAGAUAGUGGGUUCAACAAGCUGGAUUAUCCGUUUCAGGUGGCGUCAGUCGGCAUUGGAUGGUAUCGUUCAACACGGAAAGUUUGCCUGCAAGGCUACAUGGAGGUUGGGGAUGACGGGGUGACUCGCAAACAUAUUUGGAGGUCUAGCUGGGAGGAAAAUUGGCGGCCUUGCAAGCGCAGUCGCGUUACUGGCGCAAUUCAUCUCAAGGACAAGAUUGUGCUCCCUUGGAGAAGGGCUGACUGCUGGAUGGAGGUCGAGCUGGGUGAGUUCUACAACGAGGAAGGCGGCGAUGGCGAGGUGUCUGUCGGCCUAAUGCAGACAACCGGAGGAUACAAGAGUGGCCUUGUUGUGUUGGGUGUUGAGAUUAGAUCUAAACAAUGA